GAUGUACAAACGACAUGAGAAUGGCUGUUGGUACUAACACUAGAAGUGGAAACCUAGGACACUGGCAAUGGACUAGUAUAGGUAUCCUGUUUGAAACAAUAUUUUCCCUUUUUUUCUUCUUAAAAAAAUAGUUAAUAUAAAGUAUAAACGUUAUAUGAAGAUUUUGACAGAACGGCAGAUAUAUUUCUACAAUAUCUUUAAAUAGCAUUAACUGCCAAACUUAAACCUACUGAUUUGACUCAAACUCCGAAAUUUGAUUUAUUACAAACAUAAACCUUUACGAUAAUUUAAAAUGUUCCAUGAGAACAAUUAUCAUUGUUUUUAAUUUUAAUAUCAUAUUAACCCAAUAAAAUCCUCAUGGACUUUUCCAGUCUCACAUAUCAUUGAACAUAUCAACACAGUUGGAUAUAGGAUAUCAAUCCAGG
RNAcentral lists this long non-coding RNA (425 nucleotides) under Mytilus galloprovincialis (Mediterranean mussel). The record is from RNAcentral. Lineage: Eukaryota; Metazoa; Mollusca; Bivalvia; Mytilida; Mytilidae.